Balaenoptera acutorostrata (minke whale) is the source of this 2705-nucleotide long non-coding RNA. RefSeq lists it as uncharacterized. Lineage: Eukaryota; Metazoa; Chordata; Mammalia; Artiodactyla; Balaenopteridae. The record is from RefSeq and is a predicted model, not a curated record. The transcript is spliced from 3 exons.
UCGGAGAUGCAUAUAAUUACCAGCAACUGGCGCUGGGUAGGCAAAGCCGGGAGAAACUGCUGAGACGAGAACGGGCUCCGCUCGAGUUGUAUUUGAAACCCAGCUGGCUUGUCCUACACUGUGCUGUUUAGUCCACGAUCACGGGGCCUCGGGACCGGGGUCUCCAGCUCCUGCUACGCAGACGCAAGAGGAUCAUUUUUUAAGAAGUAGCUUGCCCCUCCCCCCCAAUCCCGAGUCCAAAGGUGACUUCAAGUCCCUCGUGGAAGGACACCUUCCAGUGGUCAAGAAUCUGGGGUCCCCACACCGACAGGGUGUCUCCAGAUGGACAAAGCAUGUGGCAGGGGCGUGAGCUGAAGUUGUCAGUCGAUCGCAAGCCCCCUGUAUCCACUGGACCUCAGAGCCCCGGCGGUUAACCUCUGAGUGCUCCUGACCAGAACCUCCAAGGCCUUACACCUCCUGUGGGUGUGGGGUGGAGGUGGGAGGGAUGGAGGGGAAGGGUCUGCCUAGAAGGAGCAAGGGAAGCACCAUCCCAGCCCCAAACGUGCACUCAGACAAGCCGAGAUGGGAAGAAAGGUGCAGAGCAGAGUGGAAGCCGUGGGCAAGGCCCACCGAGAGGUCUCGUUGCCGGUCUCUACAAGAAAUUCAAGGUUGUCAGUGGCUGGCUUCCUGCGAACAGGAGCCCACACGUCAUGGUCUGCUUCCGUGGAGAGCGUGGCACGAGAGCAUCUCGUGAAGACCUGUGAGACCGGGUGGCUCAGCCCUGCCCGCUGGGGCUGCCUCCAGCACUCGAUUCACUUUAAAGAAAACAGAAGCUGAUUCCUCUCUGCAUCCCCACCAGAAAAGUUCCUCCUGCGCUUAUUUGACCUCAGGCCCAUGCUGGCCCAACAAGAAAACUGCCUCUGUUGGUGCGUGUUUUAAGACCACGGUUGCAUUCCCACUGAGAAGUAUCCAGCUCUGAGGCAUUGUUGUUGAAGACGUGGCAAACACGAGGGGCGGGGAGUUCAAGGCCACAGCAUGGCCUGCGUGUCAGUGGGCCUUGGAGCUGAUGAGAGCUGGAGCUACAGAGGUCAGGAACCAAAAUCUGAAUCCCCAGUGGUCCCCAAAUGCACUGAGGUCCACGGCCAAACACUGGCUCAGAAUCCUGACCAAUAAAUACCACUGAUUGUAUGACUGGUGGGACCAGAGGGGACCCAGGGCAAACCAGCCCUUCAGCUGGAAGAAGAGCUCAGAGAGACUGGCCCUCUUGUCUUUGUACAUAACACCGUCAGCCACACUCUGAAUAUCAGGCUAAGAGUGUUUUUGUUUUUAUGUUGGACACAAUUGUCUAAUGUGCUAUAGGAGCCUGCUGCCAUGGCAGUUUGGCUGUGCUUCCCAAAGAAGCUCUGAAACUAUGAUGCCAGAGUGCCACAAAGACUCCUGAGAAACAGCUUCCUUGCCCAGAGUGGUCUGGUUGAAUAUGCCAAGGUGCACUGGGCAUCUUGAAUAAGAGACGAAAGUCCGCAAUCUGCCAAUACUGGACAGACUGUGGUUUUCAGAGCAUAGCCUGGGGUCAGUAUUACAAGGAACACACUUUGGGAACCCAGUCAAUGAAAGGCCCUCAUAACUAAAAGGUCUCUCUGUUUCUGUAUUAGUUAUCUACUGCUGCAUAACAAAUCACCUCGAACUUAGUGGCUUAAAACGAUAGGCAUUUAUUAUCUCAAAGUGUCUGUGGGUCAGGAAUUCAGAACUGGCGUAACUGGCUUGUGGUCUUCACCGAAGUUGCACUCCAGGUGUCAGCUGGGGCUGCCGUCACCUGACAGCUUGACUGGGGCUGGAGGAUCAGCUUCCAAGGUGGCACACUCACCGGCUGGCAGGGCGGUGCUGGCUGUUGGCAGGAGGCCUUGGUUCCUUGCCACACAGACUCCUCCACAGAGCUGCUGGAGUUUCCUCACAAUGUGGCGGCUGGCUUCCCCCAGAUGAAUGCAAGAGAGCAAGACUGAAGCCUCUCAUGACCUGGCCUUGGAAUGCACAUGUGAUCCUUUCCACACUGUCCUAUUGGUCCCACAGGACAGCCCUAUUCAUUGUGGGAAGGGCUGAAGGAGGUCGAAAUCGUUUGGAGACCAUCUUGCAGGCCAACUGCCAUGGUAAACAUCUCUCCAGCACAAGGACAGAUAACUUGCCUCAUUCUUACAGCUGGUUUCUUACCAUUUAGUGCCAAUUAGUAACUUUGAGAAGGGACCCUGCUAACCUGUGAUAUGAAGGAGGAGGAGACCAGGAAUUUAUCAGCCACGCCAACACCCCAUGAACAGCAGCAAUAAUAAUCAUCCAGGCCCGUUCGUUGAGCCCUCACCCUAUGCCAAGUGCCUCAACAGCAUUGUGGAGACAUGCAUUCCUUGUCCCCAAGCAGCAAGUUCCACAAUAUUUCCAAGUUAGGCCACUCAUUUUUAUGAAAUGUAUAAAAUGAGAUUUUUUUUUUGGCAAUGAUGGCUACAGGGACACAAGCAGCUUUGCCCCCUGAAAAUACAGAGACAAAAUCCAAGACCCGUGUGAACCCACGUGGAGAAGACUGGAGUGGGGUGUAAACUCAGGAUGGAUAAAUGCCAAAGAGAAACACAUCAUAGGGACUUCCCCGGUGGUCCAGUGGUUAAGACUCCACACCCCCCACUGUAGGGGGCGUGGGUUCGAUCCCUGAUCGCGGAACCAAGAUCCCACAUGCCACAUGGUGC